GAUGAACGCUGGCGGCGUGCUUAACACAUGCAAGUCGAACGGAAAGGCCCAAGCUUGCUUGGGUACUCGAGUGGCGAACGGGUGAGUAACACGUGGGUGAUCUGCCCCGCACUUCGGGAUAAGCCUGGGAAACUGGGUCUAAUACCGGAUAGGACCACUUCUUGGAGGUUGUGGUGGAAAGUUUUUUCGGUGUGGGAUGAGCUCGCGGCCUAUCAGCUUGUUGGUGGGGUAAUGGCCUACCAAGGCGUCGACGGGUAGCCGGCCUGAGAGGGUGUACGGCCACAUUGGGACUGAGAUACGGCCCAGACUCCUACGGGAGGCAGCAGUGGGGAAUAUUGCACAAUGGGCGCAAGCCUGAUGCAGCGACGCCGCGCGGGGGAUGACGGCCUUCGGGUUGUAAACUCCUUUCGCUAGGGACGAAGCGCAAGUGACGGUACCUAGAGAAGAAGCACCGGCUAACUACGUG
Molecule: ribosomal RNA, 466 nt
Filed under: uncultured bacterium
Lineage: Bacteria
Description: partial 16S ribosomal RNA
Rfam family: Bacterial small subunit ribosomal RNA
Source: RNAcentral